Piliocolobus tephrosceles (Ugandan red Colobus) is the source of this 1869-nucleotide long non-coding RNA. The record is from Ensembl. NCBI's taxonomy places the organism in Eukaryota, Metazoa, Chordata, Mammalia, Primates, Cercopithecidae.
GUAUGAUAGCAGUUUUUGUGUACAUAACUUUUAAAAGGACCACGUGUUCGAUUGUUAGUUUUGUUUUUGUUAAAGAUACCCUGCGGGCACAAACAUGUGCGUAUAUAUAUAUGUAUAUGUAUAUAUGUUAAUAUGUACAUGUAUGUAUAUGCACGUAGCAUUAUACACUUUUUAACAUUUAUAACUUUUUAGUAAUUUCUCUUUUAAUUUACACCUUUUUAUUUAUCUACCUAUUUAUUUAUCCACCUACCUAUUUGUCUACCUAUCUAUUCACCCCCUAUUCCUUUCUACCUAUCUCUUUUCCUUUUUGCCUUAUUGACAAUAUUCUUUUAAUUAUGAAUUUGUUCUACAUCCUUUGUUUUAUAUUUCAUUUGUUUUUUUUUUUUCAAAAAAAUGUAGCAAAAAAAGUAGAAAACUGUGGAAUAUUUUUUAAGGGCUUAAACUUUUUCGCCGCUUCUAAUUUUCAAAAUAAAGUUAUUAAAAAUGAAAAGGUUUUUAUAAAAAAUUGUAAAAAAAAAAAUGGCAUAAAAAGUAUACAUACAUAUUGUUCUAUCAUUAACAACGUCAAAAAAAACGUAACUUCUUUUUUUAAACGAAAGAAAGACAUAAUUGAAAAUAUAAAAAACUUAUAUAAUAAAGAAAGUUUAUGGUUUGUAACAGGGUAUUGUCAAAAUUUAUUUCAUAAAAAUUCUUUUUUUAAUGUUGUUGGGUUAGAAGUAGUAAAAGAAGUAAACCCUAAAAAGUUUAUAUUCACAAGCCAAAAAAAAAAUAAUUCUGAUAACACAUUAGAAAAAAAUAAUAACUAUGAAUUACGCAAUAUCUAUAAAGUAAAAAGGUAUGUUAUUUUUUACAAGAACAGUGAAUCUAGCUCUGAUGAAAAGGAUGAAACUAGCUCCGAUAAAAAAGGCGAAACUAUUUCCGAUAAAAAAGGCGAAACUAUUUCCGAUAAAAAGGGCGAAACUAUUUCUUAUAAAAAAGGCGAAAUUAAUUCCGAUAAGAAAGGCAUUCCUAAUACCAUUAUGAACUACAAAAACAACGAUGGAAUGAAAAAAAAUUUUAUAAUGUGCCAAUAUGUUUACUUUAUUUUACACAUACAUGAUAAAAAAAAUGAUAAAUUUUACAUUUUAUCUAAUAGCAUAAAUGAUAAUAAUACUCAUGGUCUAUAUGAAAUAAAUGAAUUAAAGAAAGAUCAAUUACCAAAUAUGUUAAAUGAUAAUAUAUUAAAUAAAAAGAAAUUAAACGAGUUAACUAUGAUAUCUUUAAUAAAUAAAAAUGAAAAAUUGAAUGAUAUAUCUAGUAAUAAUAUAUAUAUAAAUAAUUUUAUAAAUGCUCCUGGUUAUGGUAAUAUUAUUAAUAAUAAUAACACAUUAUUCAAUAGCUAUGUUAAAAAAGUAUUUAAUUUUUGUAAUAAUUCAGGUAUAUUAUUUGAUCAUAAUACAUCGUACGGUAAACAAUCCAACCCAUAUAUUUUUUUAAUUUAUGGAGAUGACAACUUUAUAUUUAAAGAUAAAAGUUAUUCUCAGCAUCUUAUCAACUUUUUUAUGAAAAGCGAAGAAGAAGAAAAAGGAGGGGGAGUGCACACCUUUUGUGAAAAUCUUUUUAAAAAUAACAAGGGGUAUAAAUUAUGUAUAAGAAGUGAUUUACAAGAUAAACCUUCUUAUUUAAUAAAAUACACCAAGUUAAAAAAAAAAAAAUUUGAAAAGUUAUAUAAAUAUAUUACUAAUACUUAUUAUAAAAAUGAUCGUAAUUAUAUUUACAAUGAUAUUAACAGCAAUUCUUUUUUUUCAUAUACAAAAAUAUUAUUCGAAAAAUGUAAAAAUGACUAUGAACUUGAAAAAAAAAAAAAAUUUACAGAUGAUGACAAUACGG